This 330-nucleotide ribosomal RNA is filed under the name uncultured bacterium. RNAcentral's name for it is "bacterial SSU rRNA". It matches the Rfam family "Bacterial small subunit ribosomal RNA", at positions 8 to 334 of the family's 1533-position model. The record is from RNAcentral.
AGGGUUCGAUUAUGGCUCAGGAUGAACGCUAGCUACAGGCUUAACACAUGCAAGUCGAGGGGCAGCAUGACCUAGCAAUAGGUUGAUGGCGACCGGCGCACGGGUGAGUAACACGUAUCCAACCUGCCGAUUAUUCCGGGAUAGCCUUUCGAAAGAAAGAUUAAUACUGGAUAGCAUAACGAGAAGGCAUCUUCUUGUUAUUAAAGAAUUUCGAUAAUCGAUGGGGAUGCGUUCCAUUAGUUUGUUGGCGGGGUAACGGCCCACCAAGACAUCGAUGGAUAGGGGUUCUGAGAGGAAGGUCCCCCACAUUGGAACUGAGACACGGUCCAA